AUCCAACUGAUGGGUCCUAGACAGGACGAAACAUGCGUCAAACUGGAU
This 48-nucleotide non-coding RNA is filed under the name Schistosoma bovis. The record is from RNAcentral. RNAcentral also lists the same sequence under 1 other name. Lineage: Eukaryota; Metazoa; Platyhelminthes; Trematoda; Strigeidida; Schistosomatidae.